GGAGGGGGAAACGGCCGAGGCUGGAACUCAGGCUUACUGGGAAACUAGCGAGGCCGGCACUCAGGCGACGUGGGAAUCUGCGGAGGCCGACACUCAAGCGGAUUGGACUGACGGUGGUCAGGGAGGCUGUUACAUAGGCGCGGUGCUGCCGAGCAAAAGGCCCGGUCGCCCAUGGUGCGGAGCUUGGUGUUGGGGACCCGGAGGAGCAAGCUGUU
Long non-coding RNA from Clupea harengus (Atlantic herring), 215 nucleotides. RefSeq lists it as uncharacterized. NCBI's taxonomy places the organism in Eukaryota, Metazoa, Chordata, Actinopteri, Clupeiformes, Clupeidae. The record is from RefSeq and is a predicted model, not a curated record.